Molecule: ribosomal RNA, 253 nt
Filed under: uncultured bacterium
Lineage: Bacteria
Description: partial 16S ribosomal RNA
Rfam family: Bacterial small subunit ribosomal RNA
Source: RNAcentral
GACGUAGGGCGCGAGCGUUGUCCGGAAUUAUUGGGCGUAAAGAGAACGUAGGCGGUUUGUUAAGUUUGGGCUUAAAGACUGGGGCUCAACCCCAGGAGUGGCUCGAAAACUGACAGACUAGAGGAUGGCAGAGGAAAGUGGAAUUCCCAGUGUAGCGGUGAAAUGCGUAGAUAUUGGGAGGAACACCAGUGGCGAAAGCGACUUUCUGGGCCAUUCCUGACGCUGAGGUUCGAAAGCUCGGGGAGCAAACAGG